GUCUAUUUGGAGUUUUAAGAAGUCUGGCCUGCCCACUGAUAUAAAAUUUUUAAGGGCCGCGGUAUUAUGACCGUGCUAAGGUAGCAUAAUCAUUAGGUUUUUAAAUGAGAUCUUGUAUGAAUGGUUGAACAAAGAAAAAACUGUCUUUAAUAAUAAAAUUUGAAUUUUACUUUUAAGUGAGAAGGCUUAAAUAAUUUAAGGGGACGAUAAGACCCUAUAAAACUUUACAUUAAAAUUAUAUUUGGUUGAAUUUUAAAGCAAUAAAGAUCUAAAAUAAAGAUUGUUGUGUUGGGGCGACAAAAGUAGAAAUUAUAGUAGCUGCUUGAAAAGGAAUCACUUUUAAGUGAUAAAAGUUAUAGAUCUUAAUUAUAAAUUUAAAGAUUAAGUUACUUUAGGGAUAACAGUGUAAUUUUUUUUGAGAGUUCAUAUCGAAAAAAAAGUUUGUAACCUCGAUGUUGAAUUAAAAUAUCUAUAUAAUGAAGUAGUUGUAUAAGAGGGUCUGUUCGACCUUUAAUUUUUUACAUGAUUUGAGUUCAAAUCGGCGUGAG
Molecule: ribosomal RNA, 548 nt
Filed under: Somanniathelphusa zanklon
Lineage: Eukaryota; Metazoa; Arthropoda; Malacostraca; Decapoda; Parathelphusidae
Description: partial 16S rRNA
Rfam family: Bacterial large subunit ribosomal RNA
Source: RNAcentral